CGUACGACGAGUUUGAUCCUGGCUCAGAAUGAACGCUGGCGGCAGGCCUAACACAUGCAAGUCGAACGCACCUUUCGGGGUGAGUGGCGGACGGGUGAGUAACGCGUGGGAAUAUGCCCUUUGGUACGGAAUAGUCCUGGGAAACUGGGGGUAAUACCGUAUGUGCCCUUCGGGGGAAAGAUUUAUCGCCAAAGGAUUAGCCCGCGUUGGAUUAGGUAGUUGGUGGGGUAAUGGCCUACCAAGCCGACGAUCCAUAGCUGGUUUGAGAGGAUGAUCAGCCACACUGGGACUGAGACACGGCCCAGACUCCUACGGGAGGCAGCAGUGGGGAAUCUUAGACAAUGGGGGAAACCCUGAUCUAGCCACGCCGCGUGAUCGAUGAAGGCCUUAGGGUUGUAAAGAUCUUUCAGAUGGGAAGAUAAUGACGGUACCAUCAGAAGAAGCCCCGGCUAACUCCGUG
RNAcentral lists this ribosomal RNA (460 nucleotides) under uncultured bacterium. Its description in RNAcentral is "bacterial SSU rRNA". It matches the Rfam family "Bacterial small subunit ribosomal RNA", at positions 1 to 507 of the family's 1533-position model. The record is from RNAcentral.